UUUUUUGGAAUUUCCCAGCGAACGAUAACAAAUCCAUCGUAUUUUCGUAUUGUUUUCGCACCGGGCAGAAAGUGAAAUUCGAUACGCGCAAAGAAAAAUCUUGGAAAGUAGGGGAAGGGGGUUGAAUACGACGAACGGUUGUCGUCCCGGCAUCGACACGAUGAUUUAUGAUCGUGUUUCUUUCGUUGGAGAGAUUCUCGAGAGUUGGUGGUGGACGGGCGGAAGAGGGAGAAGGGUUCGGUGUAAAAAAUUUCAUUAGAGUCUGUCUCGCGAGAAGACGCCGAGCUGUGCAUUACCUGGAAUGUUAGGAGUUUGUUAUCCCGGAGCCAUUGCACGCCCCUGAUGGGCCGAGUCUGAUACGGGGACAAUAUGACGCACCUCAAGGUGAUGGUCGACCCCGAUGCCACACUCUGCUCCCGUGGACCCAUUAUCGCAGCCACUGGUGCCGUGCUCUCGUAACCUGAAAUCCAUGCACGAACGAAAUAUCGAAUUACAAAUACUUGGAAUCGAUGUUCCGAAGGGAUAUCCCAACAAGGGGAUA
Long non-coding RNA from Apis dorsata (giant honeybee), 541 nucleotides. RefSeq lists it as uncharacterized. The record is from RefSeq and is a predicted model, not a curated record. Lineage: Eukaryota; Metazoa; Arthropoda; Insecta; Hymenoptera; Apidae. The transcript is spliced from 3 exons.